This 303-nucleotide ribosomal RNA is filed under the name uncultured bacterium. RNAcentral describes it as "bacterial SSU rRNA". It matches the Rfam family "Bacterial small subunit ribosomal RNA", at positions 202 to 507 of the family's 1533-position model. The record is from RNAcentral.
AAAGGUUUACCGCCUUGGGAUAGGCUUGCGUCUGAUUAGCUAGUUGGUGUGUAAUGGCACACCAAGGCUACGAUCAGUAACUGGUCUGAGAGGAUGAUCAGUCACACUGGAACUGAGACACGGUCCAGACUCCGUACGGGAGGCAGCAGUGAGGAAUAUUGGGCAAUGCACGAAAGUGUGACCCAGCAACGCCGCGUGGAGGAUGAAGGUAUUCUAUAUCGUAAACUCCUGUGAGAGCAGACGAAAGACAGAUUAUUAAUUUGGAUGACUGUAUGCUCAGAGGAAGCCCCGGCUAACUACGUG